RNAcentral lists this ribosomal RNA (552 nucleotides) under uncultured bacterium. RNAcentral describes it as "partial 16S ribosomal RNA". It matches the Rfam family "Bacterial small subunit ribosomal RNA", at positions 355 to 898 of the family's 1533-position model. The record is from RNAcentral.
UAGGGAAUCUUCCACAAUGGACGCAAGUCUGACGGAGCAACGCCGCGUGAGUGAAGAAGGUUUUCGGACCGUAAAGCUCUGUUGUUGGUGAAGAAGGAUAGAGGUAGUAACUGGCCUUUAUUUGACGGUAAUCAACCAGAAAGUCACGGCUAACUACGUGCCAGCAGCCGCGGUAAUACGUAGGUGGCAAGCGUUGUCCGGAUUUAUUGGGCGUAAAGCGAGCGCAGGCGGAAGAAUAAGUCUGAUGUGAAAGCCCUCGGCUUAACCGAGGAAUUGCAUCGGAAACUGUUUUCUUGAGUGCAGAAGAGGAGAGUAGAACUCCAUGUGUAGCGGUGGAAUGCGUAGAUAUAUGGAAGAAUACCAGUGGCGAAGGCGGCUCUCUGGUCUGCAACUGACGCUGAGGCUCGAAAGCAUGGGUAGCGAACAGGAUUAGAUACCCUGGUAGUCCAUGCCGUAAACGAUGAGUGCUAAGUGUUGGGAGGCUUCCGCCUCUCAGUGCUGCAGCUAACGCAUUAAGCACUCCGCCUGGGGGAGUACGACCGCAAGGUUGAA